AGAACGAACGCUGGCGGCAUGCCUAAUACAUGCAAGUCGAACGAACACUUCGGUGUUAGUGGCGCACGGGUGCGUAACGCGUGGGAAUCUGCCCUUGGGUUCGGAAUAACAGUUGGAAACGACUGCUAAUACCGGAUGAUGACGAAAGUCCAAAGAUUUAUCGCCCAGGGAUGAGCCCGCGUAGGAUUAGCUAGUUGGUGAGGUAAAGGCUCACCAAGGCGACGAUCCUUAGCUGGUCUGAGAGGAUGAUCAGCCACACUGGGACUGAGACACGGCCCAGACUCCUACGGGAGGCAGCAGUAGGGAAUAUUGGACAAUGGGCGCAAGCCUGAUCCAGCAAUGCCGCGUGAGUGAUGAAGGCCUUAGGGUGUAAAGCUCUUUACCCGAGAUGAUAAUGACAGUAUCGGAAGAAUAAGCCCCGGACUAACUCCGCGCCAGCAGCCGC
RNAcentral lists this ribosomal RNA (445 nucleotides) under uncultured soil bacterium. RNAcentral describes it as "bacterial SSU rRNA". It matches the Rfam family "Bacterial small subunit ribosomal RNA", at positions 26 to 518 of the family's 1533-position model. The record is from RNAcentral.